GGGCGAUUAGCUCAGCGGAAGAGCGCUUCGUUCACACCGAAGAGGUCACUGGUUCGAACCCAGUAUCGCCCACCC
RNAcentral lists this transfer RNA (75 nucleotides) under Prauserella marina. RNAcentral describes it as "tRNA-Val". It matches the Rfam family "tRNA". Rfam says of the family: Transfer RNA (tRNA) molecules are approximately 80 nucleotides in length. Their secondary structure includes four short double-helical elements and three loops (D, anti-codon, and T loops). Lineage: Bacteria; Bacillati; Actinomycetota; Actinomycetes; Pseudonocardiales; Pseudonocardiaceae. The record is from RNAcentral.